GAUGAACGCUGGCGGCGUGCUUAACACAUGCAAGUCGAACGGAAAGGCCAGUGCUUGCUCUUGUACUCGAGUGGCGAACGGGUGAGUAACACGUAGGUGACCUGCCUUGCACUCUGGGAUAAGCUUGGGAAACUGGAUCUAAUACCGGAUAUGAACUGCCUUUAGUGUGGAAGUUGGAAAGUUUUUUCGGUGCAAGAUGAGCGCGCGGCCUAUCAGCUUGUUGGUGGGGUAAUGGCCUACCAAUGCGUCGACGCGUAGCCGGCCUGCGAGGGUGAACGGGCCCAUAGGGCCUGAGGAAGGGGCCGGACUGCAACGGGAGGCAGCGGUGGGAAACAGUGCACAAUGGGCGGAGGCCGGGUACAGCGACGCCGGGUGGGGAAUGACGGCUUUCGGGUUAUAAACUGCUUUCGACUGGGACGAAGCGUAAGUGACGGUACCUGAAUAAGAAGCACCGGCUAACUACGUG
RNAcentral lists this ribosomal RNA (466 nucleotides) under uncultured bacterium. RNAcentral's name for it is "partial 16S ribosomal RNA". It matches the Rfam family "Bacterial small subunit ribosomal RNA", at positions 28 to 507 of the family's 1533-position model. The record is from RNAcentral.